Molecule: ribosomal RNA, 497 nt
Filed under: uncultured bacterium
Lineage: Bacteria
Description: partial 16S ribosomal RNA
Rfam family: Bacterial small subunit ribosomal RNA
Source: RNAcentral
GACGAACGCUGGCGGCGUGCCUAAUACAUGCAAGUAGAACGCUGAAGCGAGGAGCUUGCUCUUCUUGGAUGAGUUGCGGACGGGUGAGUAACGCGUAGGUAACCUGCCUUGUAGCGGGGGAUAACUAUUGGAAACGAUAGCUAAUACCGCAUAACAAUGGAUGACACAUGUCAUUUAUUUGAAAGGGGCAAUUGCUCCACUAUAAGAUGGACUUGCGUUGUACUAGCUAGUAGGUGAGGUAAAGGCUCAACUAGGCGACGAUACAUAGCCGACCUGAGAGGGUGAUCGGCCACACUGGGACUGAGACACGGCCCAGGCUCCUACGGGAGGCAGCAGGAGGGAAUCUUCGGCAAUGGGGGCAACCCUGACCGAGCAACGCCGCGGGAGUGAAGAAGGGUUUCGGAUCGUAAAGCUCUGUUGUAAGUCAAGAACGGAUGUGAGAGUGGAAAGUGCACACUGUGACGGUAGCUUACCAGAAAGGGACGGCUAACUACGUG